This is a long non-coding RNA of Cyprinus carpio (common carp), 1449 nucleotides long. NCBI's taxonomy places the organism in Eukaryota, Metazoa, Chordata, Actinopteri, Cypriniformes, Cyprinidae. The record is from Ensembl.
ACGAGAUGGCAAAACAAUCAGGAUUCCAGACUAAUGGAACAGGAAGACAUUUAUUAUGGACAACUUUGUCUAUAAUUCAUACAUGAAAGACCUGACCAGCACCUGUCAUGCAAAACACCACAAGCUUCACGGCAGUGGGAAAGACAGCAGCAGAGUAUCUGGGAGCUGUCGUGGACACCUCUACCUCUGCGUUUCUGCUGGUGUGAAUGUAGCAAGAUUCCUGCAGCUGACCGCAGCUCUUCCGAUGACAGGUUGGAUUCAAACAAAGCUGCAUGUCUCAGCACUGACUUUUACAAGGAUCUACAAUUACUUCUGUGGCAUGUUUAAGAAUAUGGACCAAAUGCUUAGAAGGUCACACCUGGGAGAGCUGCAGCCUGCCCUGGGCUAUGAGAGGCUGUUGACAGCUUGAUUGGAGCUAUCUGUGGUGAGGACUGGAUCUGGUGGAGGGUGUUAAAGGCAAUGGGUGAUGCAGAAACCUGUCAGCAGUACAGAGGUUUGUGUCUUUAUAUUAGUCACUAUUAAGGCAUCAUUACAUUUUUGCACAGUUAAAUCACACAAAUUAUUUGUUUGUUUAUUUUUUCCUUCGCAAAAUAUCAAAGCAGUACAUUUCCUUUUAACCAAGUGGUCUCAAGUUCAUUUUAAGGGAUGUUGUCAGUCAGUUCCUCUUAUAUUCAUGCUGGUGAAAUCCAAAGAUAUUUAUAUAUAAUUAAGUAUAAUGUUUAUAUAAUAAUACUAUACUAAUAGUAAUUUAUAUUAUAAAUCUUAAUAUCUGUUCAUAAACUAUUUAUAUAAUGUCUGAUUGCAAGUUAUUUUAGUUUAUAAUUUUAUUACAUAACAUGUACCUUUAUGUAUUUAUUUUUGGUCUUGAUGGCUGUUCUCAAAAAUUUCUUGGUUAUGCAUACAAGCAUUAUUAUUGUUAAAUGCAAAUACAUUUUUAUUUUUGAGUAUAUAUGAUAAUUCUUUGAGUAAAUGAAUGAAUGAAUUUGUACUGUAAUGUUGCAGUAAUGGUAUAUGUGAAAGGUCACAAGCUGCCCUCUUCCACAAUGCCAUCUUGAUAUUUCUAAGGUUUUAUAACAUGUUAGUUAAAUUGGACAUACAACAAACAAACAAUGUGCAGAAUAGGGUUACGAGCUGCGGCAGCAGUGGUAGGGGUGACGCUCGGCUCGCGGUAACCUCCCAGUGGCAGCGGCCCUGCCGGCCCUCCCUGUGUUCCUGGCCGUCUCUCACAUGGUGAUUGGGUUUCAGCGCAGGGCUCAGAGCUGUGGGAACGAGUCAUCACACUGGCGGCCUGCCUGGGAGACUGUGCUAUACUCCACCAGGGGGAAGGCAAUUGACAAGUGGGGUUUUGUAAGCCCAGACAAUGUGCCAUCUUCACUGUUUAACCCAGGAAAUCCACUACAGCUGGAGCCUCCAAAUAAAUGAGAAACCCAUGUGUGAAAGUGUGUCUGU